AUCCUGACCUUAGAAAAGGUAGAAAGUAUAUACAGUCAAAUGCUUCUUUUUAGCAGAAAUGAUUUAAGCCCUUAGAUGCAGUUGAUUGCGUCACAAUUGUCAACUAAAUAUUCAGUUCAAGUUAUCGUCUCUUGUCUUGGUUGAGAUGUGGAAAAUAAUCGUUUGUUUGAAAGGGAUUGCUGACUAGUAGUUAAUAAAAAAUGAGGAGAAACAGGAGUGCCAAAAACCCAGGCUUUGAUUUUUAAAACCUGCACUUGGUAAACAAAUUUACAAAAAAAAAAAAAAACAACUAAAACGCACAGCAGCCCCCCACCACCACCAUCACACCCACUUCAUUCAUUGUUCAUUGAUCAAAAUUGCCAAUCAAAGGCCUUCACGAUCUUCACCGCUCAUGCAGUGACGGGACUUUAGCAGACGCAGCACUGCAGCAUGCAGUACGUCCGGUGCCCAGCGGCACGCAAUCGCCGCUUCGCCGUUCGUUUAGUGCACUUUGUUGUUCGAAGAUCCUUGUCUGGGCUUUCAUAUUUGUGGCCGUGGUUUCAAAAGGGAACUAUUUGUUUGUUUGGCUGCCAAGAAAAAUAGUGGGAAUUAAAAGGAAUGAGAAAAUGAAAAUAUCGAUACUCAUAAAUAGAGCUUCGGUAUCAAGUUCAGCUUCAGUUAAAAUACCUCCAUUGUUUUUAAUCAUUCGUUU
Molecule: long non-coding RNA, 691 nt
Filed under: Citrus sinensis (sweet orange)
Lineage: Eukaryota; Viridiplantae; Streptophyta; Magnoliopsida; Sapindales; Rutaceae
Description: long non-coding RNA (CSIN_LNC002840)
Source: RNAcentral